Molecule: ribosomal RNA, 440 nt
Filed under: Cormocephalus sp. CES091022
Lineage: Eukaryota; Metazoa; Arthropoda; Chilopoda; Scolopendromorpha; Scolopendridae
Description: partial 16S ribosomal RNA
Rfam family: Archaeal large subunit ribosomal RNA
Source: RNAcentral
UGGCCGCAGUAUCUUGACUGUGCAAAGGUAGCAUAAUAAUUAGGUUAUUAAUUAUAAUCUAGCAUGAAAGGUCACACGUAAAAAUACCUAUCUUAUCAUCAAAAGUAAAUUUAAAUUGUAAGUAAAAAUGCUUACACCCCAAUUAAACAAGAAGACCCUAUUAAGUUUAAUAUUGACAUUCAACACACAUAGACCAAACAUAAAAAACAAAUAUUUUGUUGGGGCGACAAAUAAUAACAAUACAAUAUAAAUACAAACUUAAAUAAAAGAUACUGAGCCGUCACGCACGAUCAUAAGAACAAAUUACUAUAGGGAUAACAGCAUAAUUCCAUUAAAGAGUUCCUAUCGAUAAUAGAGAUUAUGACCUCGAUGUUGAAUCAAAAAUUCUACAAAACGCAAAAGUUUUAAAAGAUAGUCUGUUCGACUAUUAAUCUUUUACG